RNAcentral lists this long non-coding RNA (826 nucleotides) under Homo sapiens (human). RNAcentral's name for it is "non-protein coding lnc-STAT5B-3:1". Lineage: Eukaryota; Metazoa; Chordata; Mammalia; Primates; Hominidae. The record is from RNAcentral.
ACCCACUCCUUGCCAGUUGUGGUGAUCUCCAACAUCUGUCAGAUGCCAAAUGCCUGGGCGUCCAUCCUGUGGUACAACAUGCUGACCAACAAUCCCAAGAAUGUAAACUUUUUUACCAAGCCCCCAAUUGGAACCUGGGAUCAAGUGGCCGAGGUCCUGAGCUGGCAGUUCUCCUCCACCACCAAGCGAGGACUGAGCAUCGAGCAGCUGACUACACUGGCAGAGAAACUCUUGGGACCUGGUGUGAAUUAUUCAGGGUGUCAGAUCACAUGGGCUAAAUUUUGCAAAGUAAGCAAUCUUGUUAAAUUCUCGUGGGAAUGGGAAUGCUCACCUGCACGGCUGUCGUUGAGGGCUCUGGCUUGAAGGCCCUGAACUCUUGGUCCAGCGGCCAGUAGGACCUGCCUGAAGGUAGACGGGCCUGAGGAUUUGGGUGAUGCACUGCACCCCUAGGAAGGGAAGGGCUGGGAUGGCAGUAGACUUGGCUUUCCCAUUACUCUUUUCUCCAGGAAAACAUGGCUGGCAAGGGCUUCUCCUUCUGGGUCUGGCUGGACAAUAUCAUUGACCUUGUGAAAAAGUACAUCCUGGCCCUUUGGAACGAAGGGUAGGUUGGACAGAGUGUGCACAGAUGUAACCAAGUCCCCUGCUCUCAGCAAGCCAGUGGCAGGGGAUGGAUGCCCUGUUAGCAAUAACAACAUUGUUCCUCCUCCUUGGCUCCAGGUACAUCAUGGGCUUUAUCAGUAAGGAGCGGGAGCGGGCCAUCUUGAGCACUAAGCCUCCAGGCACCUUCCUGCUAAGAUUCAGUGAAAGCAGCAAAGAAGGAGGCGUC